AAUAGCAUCUGGUGACGAAGACAUUCGUAAGCUCUUGAGCUUCGACGUAUUGGGCAACAACUCUUUAUCUAAAAUACGAGUCAAGAUGUGCCAAUUAUGAUUUUUAUCCGCAUGAGUCAAAUCAGAAUAUGUCAUUUCAUAUCAUUAUCCCACUUGUGACCCAUGCGCUGGAUAAGCUCACAUCACCUGACCUCUCCUUAUCAACCAUAUGCCACACAGCUCC
Molecule: long non-coding RNA, 223 nt
Filed under: Elaeis guineensis (African oil palm)
Lineage: Eukaryota; Viridiplantae; Streptophyta; Magnoliopsida; Arecales; Arecaceae
Description: long non-coding RNA (EGUI_LNC079035)
Source: RNAcentral